ACUCCUACGGGAGGCAGCAGUGGGGAAUCUUAGACAAUGGGCGCAAGCCUGAUCUAGCCAUGCCGCGUGAGUGAUGAAGGCCCUAGGGUCGUAAAGCUCUUUCGCCUGUGAUGAUAAUGACAGUAGCAGGUAAAGAAACCCCGGCUAACUCCGUGCCAGCAGCCGCGGUAAUACGGAGGGGUUAGCGUUGUUCGGAAUUACUGGGCGUAAAGCGCACGUAGGCGGAUCAGAAAGUUGGGGUGAAAUCCCGGGGCUCAACCCCGGAACUGCCUCCAAAACUCCUGGUCUUGAGUUCGAGAGAGGUGAGUGGAAUUCCGAGUGUAGAGGUGAAAUUCGUAGAUAUUCGGAGGAACACCAGUGGCGAAGGCGGCUCACUGGCUCGAUACUGACGCUGAGGUGCGAAAGUGUGGGGAGCAAACAGGAUUAGAUACCCUGGUAGGCGUAG
Molecule: ribosomal RNA, 445 nt
Filed under: uncultured bacterium
Lineage: Bacteria
Description: bacterial SSU rRNA
Rfam family: Bacterial small subunit ribosomal RNA
Source: RNAcentral